CCUACGGGAGGCAGCAGUGGGGAAUAUUGCACAAUGGGGGAAACCCUGAUGCAGCGACGCCGCGUGAGUGAAGAAGGAAUUCGGUAUGUAAAGCUCUAUCAGCAGGGAAGAAAAUGACGGUACCUGAGUAAGAAGCCCCGGCUAACUACGUGCCAGCAGCCGCGGUAAUACGUAGGGGGCAAGCGUUAUCCGGAUUUACUGGGUGUAAAGGGAGCGUAGACGGCAGUGCAAGUCUGGAGUGAAAGGCGGGGGCUCAACCCCCGGACUGCUCUGGAAACUGUACGGCUGGAGUGCAGGAGAGGUAAGUGGAAUUCCUAGUGUAGCGGUGAAAUGCGUAGAUAUUAGGAGGAACACCAGUGGCGAAGGCGGCUUACUGGACUGUACCUGACGUUGAGGCUCGAAAGCGUGGGGAGCAAACAGGAUUAGAUACCCCAGUAGUC
This 440-nucleotide ribosomal RNA is filed under the name uncultured bacterium. RNAcentral describes it as "partial 16S ribosomal RNA". It matches the Rfam family "Bacterial small subunit ribosomal RNA", at positions 338 to 795 of the family's 1533-position model. The record is from RNAcentral.